GGAUAGUGGCGUAAGGGUUAGUAAUGGAUAGGUAACGUGCCCUCCGCUUCGGAAUAGCGUCGGUUGCUUCGGCAACCUUCCGAAAGGGGCAAUAAUACCGAAUAAUAUUGCUUGUCGAUAGACAAGUAAUCAAAGAUUUAUCGGCAGAGGAGCGGCCUAUCUCUUAUCAGCUUGUUGGUGAGGUAAUGGCUCACCAAGGCUAUGACGGGUAGCGGGACUGAGAGGUUGACCCGCAACAUCGGGACUGAGACGCUGCCCGGACCUCCACGGAGGGCUGCAGUAACGAAUAUUGCGCAAUGGGCCAAAGCCUGACGCAGCGACGCCGCGUGCGGGAAGAAGUCCCUCGGGAUGUAAACCGCUGUCAGGGAUUAGAAAGUUCGCUUCGGCGGAUUGAUCAGUCCCAAAGGAAGUCACGGCUAACUUCGUGCCAGCAGCCGCGGUAAGACGAAGGUGGCAAGCGUUGUUCGGUAUUACUGGGCUUAAAGAGUGUGUAGGCGGAAAGGUAAGCGUCCUGUGAAAGCCCCCGGCUUAACCGGGGAAUGGCGAGACGAACUGUCUUUCUUGAGCCAAGUAGGGGUGCACGGAACUGUUGGUGGAGCGGUGGAAUGCGUAGAUAUCAACAGGAACGCCGGUGGAGAAAUCGGUGCACUGGGCUUGUGCUGACGCUGAGACACGAAAGCGUGGGGAGCGAACGGGAUUAGAUACCCCGG
This 710-nucleotide ribosomal RNA is filed under the name uncultured bacterium. Its description in RNAcentral is "bacterial SSU rRNA". It matches the Rfam family "Bacterial small subunit ribosomal RNA", at positions 90 to 790 of the family's 1533-position model. The record is from RNAcentral.